UCAGCGCUAUYCGGGAUCAUUGGGUUUAAAGGGUCCGUAGUGUCGGCCUWAUAAUGCUCAGCGGGUUGAAAGCCCAUCCUGMCUCAACGGUGGAACGGCCAUUGAUACCUGUUAUACUUGAAUUAUUAAGAAGUCAUAUCUACGUAAUAUGUAGGUGUGAACCGGUGAAAUGCUUCAUGAGAUUACAUGGAAUACCAAUUGCSAAGGCUGGUUACUACUAAUUGAUUGACGCUWAUUGACGAWAGCGUGGGUAGCGAACAGGAUUAGAUACCCUGGUAGUCCACGCCGUAAACGAUGGAUACUAGCUGUCUGGGAGCAAUCUCAGUGGCUAAGCGAAAGUGAUAAGUAUCCCACCUGGGGAGUACGUUCGCAAGAAUGAAACUCAAAGGAAUUGACGGGGGCCCGCACAAGCGGUGGAGCAUGUGGUUUAAUUCGAUGAUACGCGAGGAACCUUACCAAGGCUUAAAUGUAGAUUGACCGUUUUGGAAACAGAACUUUCGCAAGACAAUUUACAAGGUGCUGCAUGGUUGUCGUCAGCUCGUGCCGUGAGGUGUCAGGUUAAGUCCUAUAACGAGCGCAACCCCUGUUGUUAGUUGCCAGCGAGUCAAGUCGGGAACUCUAACAAGACUGCCAGUGCAAACUGUGAGGAAGGUAGGGGAUGACGUCAAAUCAUCACGGCCCUUACGCCUUGGGCCGUACACACGUGCUACAAUGGCCGGUACAGGAGAGCAGCCCACUGGGCGACCAGGAGCGAAUCUAUAAAACCGGUCACAGUUCGGAUCGGAGUCAUGCCACUCGACUCCCGUGAAGCCUGGAAUCGCUAGUAAUCGGCAUAUUCAGCCAUGUAUGCCGCGUGAAGACGUCCCGCCCU
Molecule: ribosomal RNA, 871 nt
Filed under: Flavobacterium sp. JFJ-Iso-Bact12
Lineage: Bacteria; Pseudomonadati; Bacteroidota; Flavobacteriia; Flavobacteriales; Flavobacteriaceae
Description: bacterial SSU rRNA
Rfam family: Bacterial small subunit ribosomal RNA
Source: RNAcentral